UUUAGGUGCUACCAUAAUUUUCCGCGUUCAACUUUGAUCAUCCGUCUUAUUUAAAAAUUUUUUAUAAUUAGUAUUUUUUUUGUUAUGCAAUGAUAAAACAUGAAUAGUACUUUAUUUGCGACUUAUGUUUUUAAUUUUUUUUAAAUAAGACGGACGAUUAAAAUUGGACGCGGAAAACCAUAGCUGUACUUAAA
MicroRNA precursor from Oryza sativa Indica Group (long-grained rice), 194 nucleotides. It matches the Rfam family "MIR812 microRNA precursor family". The record is from Rfam. Lineage: Eukaryota; Viridiplantae; Streptophyta; Magnoliopsida; Poales; Poaceae.